Molecule: ribosomal RNA, 254 nt
Filed under: uncultured bacterium
Lineage: Bacteria
Description: partial 16S ribosomal RNA
Rfam family: Bacterial small subunit ribosomal RNA
Source: RNAcentral
CACGUAGGGGGCAAGCGUUGUCCGGAUUUAUUGGGCGUAAAGAGCUCGUAGGCGGUUCGGUAAGUCGGGUGUGAAACCUCCAGGCUCAACCUGGAGACGCCACCCGAUACUGCUGUGACUAGAGUCCGGUAGGGGAGCGUGGAAUUCCUGGUGUAGCGGUGAAAUGCGCAGAUAUCAGGAGGAACACCGGAGGCGAAGGCGGAUCACUGGACUGCCACUGACGCUGAGGCGCGAAAGCUAGGGGAGCAAACAGG